UUGCUGCACUUAGUAUAGGUGCAGUCUUCCACUGGAUGGGAGAUGAUUUUCUGUUAAAGGUUCAUGGUUCUGUUUCAAAAUCUGUAGGUCCCAGGUUGAUUUACUGAGGCGAAACUGAGUCAAAUUAUAGGACGCAACUUUGCAAACAUGUUUUGAUUGCUUGGAGCUACAGAGCUCAUUUUGGAUAGUGUGCUAGUGUGUAAAGGGAAGGUGUUUCUCAAAUGUGCUUUUGUAAGUAUGUUUCCCACUGCUGACUAGUUAAGUUAGAAGUCAGUGAACUGAAUUAUCAUAGAGUAGAUUUUGGCCAUUAAUUGUGGUGGAAUGCAGAGUAAAUGAAGGCUUAGGUUUAUAGCCUGCCCAGAACUAGAGGGUGUAUCUUUAAAUUCUGUAACAUCUCUGGUCUCUCACUGGCUGACAGUAUGUCUUGUUAUCCGCUUCUAGAGUACGGCUCCCUUGCGUAAGGCCUUAAGCAUAUGUGUUGAUCAGCCGCAAGUUAACAAUUUUGAAUUAAACUGAAUGGUGUUGCUGCAGGGAGCCUCUGGGAGUCCAAGGGUGGAGAGAUCUGCCUUCAUCUGAAGAUCUCUGCUAAAGAAUCCUUUAGAGCAUUACAUUCCCCUGUUUGGAGUGUGGACAAGCGUUUGGCAUUCUGCUUCUACAGGUAACUUUUUGAAUUAAAGUGCACAUUUUGUUGUCCAGGGGGUUGAUAAAAGGAGAGCAAUUCCAGAAUGAUGUUAGUAUGUCCUCCCCUGUUGUCUCAG
This 758-nucleotide long non-coding RNA is filed under the name Cyanistes caeruleus (blue tit). Its description in RNAcentral is "lncRNA (ENSCCEG00000013711.1)". The record is from RNAcentral. Lineage: Eukaryota; Metazoa; Chordata; Aves; Passeriformes; Paridae.